This 512-nucleotide ribosomal RNA is filed under the name uncultured bacterium. RNAcentral describes it as "partial 16S ribosomal RNA". It matches the Rfam family "Bacterial small subunit ribosomal RNA", at positions 28 to 507 of the family's 1533-position model. The record is from RNAcentral.
GGUGAACGCUGGCGGCGUGCCUAAUACAUGCAAGUCGAACGAAACUUCUUUAUCACCGAGUGCUUGCACUCACCGAUAAAGAGUUGAGUGGCGAACGGGUGAGUAACACGUGGGCAACCUGCCCAAAAGAGGGGGAUAACACUUGGAAACAGGUGCUAAUACCGCAUAACCAUAGUUACCGCAUGGUAACUAUGUAAAAGGUGGCUAUACUACCGCUUUUGGAUGGGCCCGCGGCGCAUUAGCUAGUUGGUAGGGUAAAGGCUUACCAAGGCAAUGAUGCGUAGCCGAAUUGAGAGGUUGAUCGGCCACAUUGGGACUGAGACACGGCCCAAACUCCUACGGGAGGCAGCAGUAGGGAAUCUUCCACAAUGGGCGAAAGCCUGAUGGAGCAACGCCGCGUGGGUGAAGAAGGUCUUCGGAUCGUAAAACCCUGUUGUUAGAGAAGAAAGUGCGUGAGAGUAACUGUUCACGUUUCGACGGUAUCUAACCAGAAAGCCACGGCUAACUACGUG